Molecule: transfer RNA, 70 nt
Filed under: Stegodyphus mimosarum
Lineage: Eukaryota; Metazoa; Arthropoda; Arachnida; Araneae; Eresidae
Rfam family: tRNA
About the family: Transfer RNA (tRNA) molecules are approximately 80 nucleotides in length.
Source: Rfam by way of RNAcentral
GCCUUGUGGUGUAACGGUAGCACACUCGGCCCGUGUUCGAGGGGACCGGGUUCGAGUCCCGGCGAGUGCA